GACGAACGCUGGCGGCGUGCUUAACACAUGCAAGUCGAACGGAAAGGCCUUUUCGGAGGUACUCGAGUGGCGAACGGGUGAGUAACACGUGGGUGGUCUGCCCUGCACUCUGGGAUAAGCCUGGGAAACUGGGUCUAAUACCGGAUAGGACCGCACUUUAGUGUGUGUGGUGGAAAGUUUUUUCGGUGUAGGAUGAGCCCGCGGCCUAUCAGCUUGUUGGUGGGGUAAUGGCCUACCAAGGCGGCGACGGGUAGCCGGACUGAGAGGUUGGUCGGCCACAUUGGGACUGAGAUACGGCCCAGACUCCUACGGGAGGCAGCAGUGGGGAAUAUUGCACAAUGGGCGCAAGCCUGAUGCAGCGACGCCGCGUGGGGGAUGACGACCUUCGGGUUGUAAACUCCUUUCGCCAGGGACGAAGCGUUUUGUGACGGUACCUGGAGAAGAAGCACCGGCUAACUACGUG
Molecule: ribosomal RNA, 463 nt
Filed under: uncultured bacterium
Lineage: Bacteria
Description: partial 16S ribosomal RNA
Rfam family: Bacterial small subunit ribosomal RNA
Source: RNAcentral